Non-coding RNA from Callithrix jacchus (white-tufted-ear marmoset), 1338 nucleotides. The record is from RefSeq and is a predicted model, not a curated record. NCBI's taxonomy places the organism in Eukaryota, Metazoa, Chordata, Mammalia, Primates, Cebidae.
GUGGAUCCAUGUAGUAGGCCUCCUGACUUCAUCUUUCUUCCCUGCAUAAAUAUCAUUCAUUUGACCAUUUUAUAUGGCACCAUAUGCUAGAGCAAUGACAACAUUUGAUAAGUUGUUUUGAAAAAUUGAAAGAUUAAUGCUGUUAAGAAUCAGUCCAACCUUAGUUCUCUUUCCCAUCUUGCAAGAUGGUGGUGAAAAAGUUGAGAAGUCGGAUACUAAAGAGAAGAAACCUGAAGCCAAGAAGGCUGAUGCUGGUGGCAAAGUGAAAAAGGGUACCCUCGAGGCUAAAAAGCCCAAGAAGGGGAAGCCCCGUUGCAGCCACAAUCCUGUCCUUGUCAGAGGAAUUGGCAGGUACUCCCGAUCUGCCAUGUAUUCCAGAAAGGCCAUGUACAAGAGGAAGUACUCAGCCGCUAAAUCCAAGGUUGAAAAGAAAAAGGAGAAGUUUCUUGCAACUGUUACAAAACCAGUUGGUGGUGACAAGAAUUGCGGUAUUGGGUGGUUAAACUUCGCAAAAUGCCUAAGUAUUAUCCUACUGAAGAUGUGCCUCGAAAGCUGUUGAGCCACGGCAAAAAACCCUUCAGUCAGCACGUGAGCAAACUGUGAACCAGCAUUACCCCCGGGACCAUUCUGAUCAUCCUCACUGGGCGCUGCAGGGGCAAGAGGGUGGUUUUCUGAAGCAGCUGGCUGGUGGCUUGUUACUUGUGACUGGACCUCUGGUCCUCAAUCAAGUUCCUCUAUGAAGAACAUACCAGAAAUUUGUCAUUGCCACCUCAACCAAAAUUGAUAUCAGCAAUGUAAAAAUCCCGAAACAUCUUACUGAUACUUACUUCAAGAAGCAGCAGCUGCGGAAGCCCAGACGCCAGAAAGGUGAGCUCUUCAACACAGAAAAAGAGAAAUAUGAGAUUACAGAGCAGCACAAGAUUGAUCAGAAAGCUGUGGACUCACAAAUUUUACCAAAAAUCAAAGAUUUCCUCAGCUCCAGGGCUACCUGCGAUCUGUGUUUGCCCUGACAAAUGGAAUUUAUCCUCACAAAUUGGUGUUCUAAAUGUCCUAAGAAUCUAAUUAAAUAAUUGAUUACCUUUUGGGGAAAAAAAAAGAAUCAGUCAAAACUGAAUGUUUUUCAUAUGUAGAAAUAAUCUACUUACAUGGAAGAGGCCAGAGGAAAAAAAUAUAUAAAAAUACAAGUAAAAUUGAGAUAAUCCAGAGAGAUAAUUUACCAGUCACUUGUCUAUCUCCUAAAUCUCAUCAAAAGGGCUUCUGUAAACUGGUGAGAGGAUGUUGAGGGGGAAUUGCCUGGAGGGAGAUGACUUAAAAGGAGACUUAAAAGGCUUAUGCACU